Molecule: ribosomal RNA, 476 nt
Filed under: uncultured organism
Description: partial 16S ribosomal RNA
Rfam family: Bacterial small subunit ribosomal RNA
Source: RNAcentral
GUACACUCCUGCGGGAGGCAGCAGUGGGGAAUUUUGGACAAUGGGCGAAAGCCUGAUCCAGCCAUGCCGCGUGCAGGAUGAAGGCCUUCGGGUUGUAAACUGCUUUUGUACGGAACGAAACGGCCUUUUCUAAUAAAGAGGGCUAAUGACGGUACCGUAAGAAUAAGCACCGGCUAACUACGUGCCAGCAGCCGCGGUAAUACGUAGGGUGCAAGCGUUAAUCGGAAUUACUGGGCGUAAAGCGUGCGCAGGCGGUUAUGUAAGACAGUUGUGAAAUCCCCGGGCUCAACCUGGGAACUGCAUCUGUGACUGCAUAGCUAGAGUACGGUAGAGGGGGAUGGAAUUCCGCGUGUAGCAGUGAAAUGCGUAGAUAUGCGGAGGAACACCGAUGGCGAAGGCAAUCCCCUGGACCUGUACUGACGCUCAUGCACGAAAGCGUGGGGAGCAAACAGGAUUAGAUACCCCAGUAGUCCCAU